GACGAACGCUGGCGGCGCGCUUUAUACAUGCAAGUCGAACGUGAAGCUCGGAGCUUGCUCCGGGUGGAAAGUGGCGAACGGGUGAGUAUCACGUGAGAAACCUGCCCCGAAGACCGGGAUAACACCGGGAAACCGGUGCUAAUACCGGAUGCCCUCACCGGAUCGCAUGGUCUGGUGAGGAAAUGGAUUCCGCUUCGGGAUGGUCUCGCGGCCUAUCAGCUUGUUGGUGGGGUAACGGCCCACCAAGGCUUCGACGGGUAGCUGGUCUGAGAGGAUGUCCAGCCACACUGGGACUGAGACACGGCCCAGACUCCUACGGGAGGCAGCAGUAGGGAAUCUUGCACAAUGGACGAAAGUCUGAUGCAGCGACGCCGCGUGUGGGAUGACUGCCCUCGGGUUGU
This 401-nucleotide ribosomal RNA is filed under the name uncultured bacterium. RNAcentral's name for it is "bacterial SSU rRNA". It matches the Rfam family "Bacterial small subunit ribosomal RNA", at positions 28 to 426 of the family's 1533-position model. The record is from RNAcentral.